Molecule: long non-coding RNA, 523 nt
Organism: Rosa rugosa (rugosa rose)
Lineage: Eukaryota; Viridiplantae; Streptophyta; Magnoliopsida; Rosales; Rosaceae
Exons: 3
Source: RefSeq, a predicted model, not a curated record
UCUAGGCAAGUUAUGAAGCUUUAUACACCUAAUCUCUGUGAUAUAUGAAUCUGAUAUUUUUAAAUUUUAUGAUUACUUUGUUCUUCUUUCUAAUAACAGUGUUCUACAACUACUCGUCUACUCUGCUGCUCUGUGCCUCUUCUGCUGUCUCUGCCUCAAACUUUGUAUAGGACUUAUUUGAUGCCAAGAUCACCUCAUGCAGUUAGGUGCUCAAUAAGAAUGAGGCCGCCCCAGCUAGAAGUGUUAUGUGGUUCUGAAGGAAAAGCUUUGUGAUUAUCUCAAAAGUCAUUGACAUAGAAAAGAUGUCUUCAGCUAGAAAUGUUUUGGGAAAUGCUUUGUGAUUAUCUCUUUGACAUAUAUAGAUAAGAUGUAGACAAAUUAUCUCAAGUUUCUGUUUCAAAAGCAUGUAAGCGUCAUUUCUUUAAUUAGAUAUGGAACUAGAAGUGUUUUGUCACUUUGUGGUUAAGUGAAAUACUGCUAAAUUGCAAUUUUUUAUGUACAAACGAACUAAUCGUUUUCAAUU